GCUUAUUGAUAUGCUUAAGUUCAGCGGGUAUCCCUACCUGAUCCGAGGUCAACCUGGAAAAAAGUUUUGGUUGAUCGGCAAGCGCCGGCCGGGCCUACAGAGCGGGUGACAAAGCCCCAUACGCUCGAGGACCGGACGCGGUGCCGCCGCUGCCUUUCGGGCCCGUCCCCCCGGGAAGGGGGACGAGACCCAACACACAAGCCGGGCUUGAGGGCAGCAAUGACGCUCGGACAGGCAUGCCCCCCGGAAUACCAGGGGGCGCAAUGUGCGUUCAAAGACUCGAUGAUUCACUGAAUUCUGCAAUUCACACCAAGUAUCGCAUUUCGCUGCGUUCUUCAUCGAUGCUUUCUACGCAGCGU
RNAcentral lists this unclassified non-coding RNA (359 nucleotides) under uncultured Aspergillaceae. Its description in RNAcentral is "sequence contains ITS1". The record is from RNAcentral. Lineage: Eukaryota; Fungi; Ascomycota; Eurotiomycetes; Eurotiales; Aspergillaceae.